RNAcentral lists this ribosomal RNA (253 nucleotides) under uncultured bacterium. Its description in RNAcentral is "partial 16S ribosomal RNA". It matches the Rfam family "Bacterial small subunit ribosomal RNA", at positions 524 to 776 of the family's 1533-position model. The record is from RNAcentral.
UACGUAGGGGGCAAGCGUUGUCCGGAUUUACUGGGCGUAAAGAGCGUGUAGGCGGCCAAGCAGGUCCGUUGUGAAAACUGGAGGCUUAACCUCCAGACGUCGACGGAAACCGCGUGGCUAGAGUCCGGAAGAGGAGAGUGGAAUUCCUGGUGUAGCGGUGAAAUGCGCAGAUAUCAGGAAGAACACCAAUGGCGAAAGCAGCUCUCUGGGACGGUACUGACGCUGAGACGCGAAAGCGUGGGGAGCGAACAGG